GGGGUAGAGCACUGAAUGAGGUAGGGGCCUAACCAGGUUACCAAACUCUAUCAAACUCCGAAUACCAUAUGUAAAUACUCAGGAGUCAGACUGCGGGAGCUAAGUUCCGUGGUCAAAAGGAAAACAGUCCAGAUCGUCAAUUAAGGUCCCAAAGAUAUAGCUAAGUGGAAAACGAUGUGAUUUUGCAUAAACAACCAGGAUGUUGGCUCAGAAGCAGCCAUUCAUUCAAAGAGUGCGUAAUAGCUCACUGGUCGAGUGAAGUUGCGCGGAAAAUUACCGGGGCUAAGCUAUACACCGAAAUUGCGGAUUUACAUUUGAAAGACAAUGUAAGUGGUAGAGGAGCAUUCUGUAGUAGGAAGAAGCAUGACCGUAAGGACAUGUGGACGAAGCAGAAGAGAGAAUGCUGGAAUAAGUAGCGAGAGGAUGGUGAGAAUCCAUCCCGUCGAAAAUCUAAGGUUUCCCAGGGAAGGUUCGUCCGCCUGGGGUAAGUCGGGACCUAAGGAGAGGCCGAAAGGCGUAUCUGAUGGAUAGCAGGUUGAAAUUCCUGCACUACGAAUAUACUUAAAAGAUUCAAGGGACGCAGAAGUGGAAGAUAACCAAGUAAGAGGAAAAGCUUGGCUCGCAAGAGGGAGUGAAAAUUAAAAGUAACGAAGUAUCAAGAAGCACGCUGACGAGAAAAGCUUGAAGACAUUGUAUAUAAGUACCCGUACCGCAAACCGACACAGGUAGAUGAGGAGAGGAUCCUAAGACGAGCGGGAGAAGCAUUGUUAAGGAACUCGGCAAACUAACCCCGUAACUUCGGAAUAAGGGGUGCUGAUGUAACAGUCAGUCGCAGAGAAAAGGCCCAAGCAACUGUUUAACAAAAACAUAGGUUUCUGCUAAAUCGAAAGAUGAAGUAUAGGAGCUGACGCCUGCCCAGUGCUGGAAGGUUAAGGGAAAGAGCUAGGGUUAAACCGAAGCUUAGAACUGAAGCCCCAGUGAACGGCGGCCGUAACUAUAACGGUCCUAAGGUAGCGAAAUUCCUUGUCAGGUAAGUUCUGACCCGCACGAAAGGCGUAAUGAUUUGGGCGCUGUCUCGACAAUGUCCCCGGCGAAAUUGUAGUACUAGUGAAGAUGCUAGUUACCUGCGAUAAGACAGAAAGACCCCAUGGAGCUUUACUGCAGUUUGAUACUGGGUUUCGAUGAUUUAUGUACAGGAUAGUUGGGAGACUAUGAAAGAGAGGCGUCAGCUUCUCCGGAGUCGUUGUUGGGAUACCAACCUUAAGUUAUUGAAAUUCUAACUUGUAAUCGUAAACCGGUUAGAGGACAAUGUCAGACGGGCAGUUUGACUGGGGCGGUCGC
Molecule: ribosomal RNA, 1341 nt
Filed under: human gut metagenome
Description: bacterial LSU rRNA
Rfam family: Bacterial large subunit ribosomal RNA
Source: RNAcentral